UACGAAGGGGGGCUAGCGUUUGUUCGGAAUUACUGGGCGUAAAGCGCGCGCAGGCGGUCCUUUAAGUCUGAUGUGAAAGCCCACGGCUCAACCGUGGAGGGUCAUUGGAAACUGGGGGACUUGAGUGCAGGAGAAGAAGAGUGGAAUUCCACGUGUAGCGGUGAAAUCGUUAGAAGAUGUGGAGGAACACCAGUGGCGAAGGCGACUCUUUGGCCUGUAACUGACGUGAGGCGCGAAAGCAU
This 242-nucleotide ribosomal RNA is filed under the name uncultured bacterium. Its description in RNAcentral is "partial 16S ribosomal RNA". It matches the Rfam family "Bacterial small subunit ribosomal RNA", at positions 524 to 762 of the family's 1533-position model. The record is from RNAcentral.